AUUGAACGCUGGCGGCAGGCCUAACACAUGCAAGUCGAGCGGUAGAGAGAAGCUUGCUUCUCUUGAGAGCGGCGGACGGGUGAGUAAUGCCUAGGAAUCUGCCUGGUAGUGGGGGAUAACGUUCGGAAACGGACGCUAAUACCGCAUACGUCCUACGGGAGAAAGCAGGGGACCUUCGGGCCUUGCGCUAUCAGAUGAGCGUAGGUCGGAUUAGCUAGUUGGUGGGGUAAUGGCUCACCAAGGCGACGAUCCGUAACUGGUCUGAUAGGAUGAUAAGUCACACUGGAACUGCGACACGGUCCAGACUCCUACGGGAGGCAGCAGUGGGGAAUAUUGGACAAUGGGCGAAAGCCUGAUUCAGCCAUGCCGCGUGUGUGAAGAAGGUCUUCGGAUUGUAAAGCACUUUAAGUUGGGAGGAAGGGCAGUAAAUUAAUACUUUGCUGUUUUGACGUUACCGACAGAAUAAGCACCGGCUAACUCUGUGCCAGCCGCCGCGGUAA
Molecule: ribosomal RNA, 500 nt
Filed under: uncultured bacterium
Lineage: Bacteria
Description: partial 16S ribosomal RNA
Rfam family: Bacterial small subunit ribosomal RNA
Source: RNAcentral